CAGUGCUGCAGCUAACGCAUUAAGCACUCCGCCUGGGGAGUACGACCGCAAGGUUGAAACUCAAAGGAAUUGACGGGGGCCCGCACAAGCGGUGGAGCAUGUGGUUUAAUUCGAAGCAACGCGAAGAACCUUACCAGGUCUUGACAUCCUUUGACCACUCUAGAGAUAGAGCUUCCCCUUCGGGGGCAAAGUGACAGGUGGUGCAUGGUUGUCGUCAGCUCGUGUCGUGAGAUGUUGGGUUAAGUCCCGCAACGAGCGCAACCCUUAUUGUUAGUUGCCAUCAUUCAGUUGGGCACUCUAGCAAGACUGCCGGUGACAAACCGGAGGAAGGUGGGGAUGACGUCAAAUCAUCAUGCCCCUUAUGACCUGGGCUACACACGUGCUACAAUGGGAAGUACAACGAGUUGCGAAGUCGCGAGGCUAAGCUAAUCUCUUAAAGCUUCUCUCAGUUCGGAUUGCAGGC
RNAcentral lists this ribosomal RNA (463 nucleotides) under Enterococcus faecium. Its description in RNAcentral is "bacterial SSU rRNA". It matches the Rfam family "Bacterial small subunit ribosomal RNA", at positions 841 to 1305 of the family's 1533-position model. The record is from RNAcentral. Lineage: Bacteria; Bacillati; Bacillota; Bacilli; Lactobacillales; Enterococcaceae.